RNAcentral lists this long non-coding RNA (2780 nucleotides) under Brassica napus (rape). RNAcentral describes it as "long non-coding RNA (BNAP_LNC008653)". Lineage: Eukaryota; Viridiplantae; Streptophyta; Magnoliopsida; Brassicales; Brassicaceae. The record is from RNAcentral.
AAAUAUAAUUUACCUUUUUUAUUCAUAAGAUACAACUUUCAAAAUAUUUUGGCAAUUAAAUAAUGGAUGUAAGAUUUAAAAUCUGCUAUAGAUUUGUUAUUUGAAUAUUACAACAACAAAUUACAUAGCGAUAGAGUUUAGGUUUUUUUAGCUUUAAGUUUUGAGAUUAUUUUUUAGUGUUUAGGUUGGUAGAGUUUUAGGGUUAGAUGAGAUUUAUGGUUAGGUUAAGGUAGGGUUUUAGGGUUAGGUUUAGGCAGGGUUUAGGGUUAGCAGGGUUUAGUGUGUUAGGUAGGGUUUAGGGUUAGAAAGGGUUUAGGGUUAGGUAGAGUUUUUAGGGUUAGGCAGGGUUUUGGGUUAGGAAAGGUUUAGGGUUAGGUAGGGUUUAGGGUUAAAAAGGGUUUAGGGUAGAUAGGGUAAGGUUAGGUAGGGUUUAGAGUUAGUAGGGCUUAGGGUUAGGUAUGGUUUAGAAGGUAGGGUUUAGGGUUAGAUAGGGUUAGUAGGGUUUAGGGCUAAGUAGGGUUUAGGAUUAGGUAGGGUUUAGGAUUAGGUAGGGUUUAGGGUUAGUGUUAGUAGGGUUUAAAAUUAGGUAGGGUUUAGAAUUAGGCAGGGUUUAGGGUUAGGUCAGUUUUAGGGUUUAGGUUAGGUAGGGUUUAGGGUUAGAAAGGGUUUAGGGUUCGGUAGAGUUUAAAAUUAGGUAGGGUUUAGGGUUAGGUAGGAUUUAGGGUUAGAAAGGGUUUAGGGUUAGUAGGGUUUAAGGUUAGUAGGGUUUAGGGUUAGGUAGGAGUUAGGGCUAGAAAGGGUUCAGGGUUAGAAAGGUUUUAGGUUAGGUAGGGUUUAGGUUUGGUAAGGUUAGUAGGGUUUAGUGUUAUGUAGGGUUAGGGUUAGGUAGGAUUUAAGGUUAGGUAGGGUUUAGGGUUAGGGUUAGGUUUUAAGGUUAGGUAGUGUUUAGGGUUAGGUAGGGUUUAGGGUUAAAUAGGGUUUAGGGUUAGGUAGGGUUUAGGGUUAGUAGGGUUUAGGGUUAGGUAGGGUUUAGGGCUAAAAAGGGUUUAGGGUUAGAAAGAUUUUAGGUUAGGUAGGGCUUAGGUUAGGUAGGGUUAGUAGGGUUUAGGGUUAUGUAGGGUUAGGGUUAGGUAGGAAUUAGGGUUAGGUAGGGUUUAGGGUUAGGUUUUAAGGUUUGGUAGGGUUUAGGGUUAGGUAGGGGUUAGGGUUAAAUAGGGUUUAGGGUUAGGUAGGGUUUACGUUUAGGGUUAGGCAGGUUUACGGUUAGAUAGGUUUAGGGUUUAGGUAGUAGGAAGAGUUUAGGGAUCAGGGUUAGGUUUAUGAAGGGUUUAGGGUUAGAUAAGUGAUAUAUGGUAUUUUAUACAUCUUGUAUAUAUGUUUUUUAAUUGGUUUUCAAGUUUUUAUCGAGUCUUCCUAGUCCUUAUCGAGUCUUCCUAGUCCUUUUCGAGUCAUUACAGGUCUGGAGUUUCAUUGGAUGGGAGAUGGAGCAGCUGGAACAAAAGAGGCAGAAAACAUUGCAAUUUGAUGAUUUUCACGCAAAAUAGUCUUGAUGACUGUUCCGGAUAGCAGAGCAACCCGAGUGACUGUUCCGAGUGCCUGUUCCAGCGGCAAAUUUUUUUAAGGAAACUACAACCUAUUUCGGGAUUUGCCCUAAUCUCUCUAUCUUUUUCUCCAGCCGCCUGUGGCUUUAAUAUAUCUUUUUUUUUUCUGUUUUUCCCUAACAUUCUACGCUAUUUUUGGAGAAGAAACCAGACCUUAGAGUUGGAAACUUGAGAUUUUGCUACUUUGUAAAGGGAGAAGGCCAUCUCUCUCGAUUUUGAGAAGAACCCCCUGAACCCUAUUACUUUAUUUCAGUCAUAUUUCAUGUUGCUUUAUAUCUCUGUCUUUGUGUUUUCUUGCUCCAUAGCUGAGUAGUCAGCUUGCUUAGUCUAGGGUGUUAGGGUGUUAGAUCCGUGAGCUUGACAUAAAUAAGUUAUAAAUCGAUUGUCUUCAUUCACUGUUGUUUUUAAGGCUUGCAUCAAGUUAACCACUUAGUGCCUGAUUCUAGGUUUAAUAUAUUCAUCAAAAGUGUUAUAGGUUGCAAGACAUAACUUGAAUGAGCAUUGCAUCCCUAAUCAGCGAAAGUAGAUAUUAGGGUGUUUUGUGAACAUAUCGGACUUGAUCUCUAUUGCUUAUUGUCGCAUCUUGAUCCAAACGAGAGUUUAGGUAUCAAGAUCGAUCAGCAUAGGGGGCAGUUCCACGACAGUGGGCUGUUCUACUUGAGUGAUCCGAGUUCUAGACUUGCUCUUAAUUAAACUUGAAUAAUUGUUUGGCUCACAAUUGCUUAACACCCGACCAAACCACCCUAAACAAGCAUUUUAAUCAUCUAAAAUCUUUAAUUUAAUCUUAUUAUUACUUGCUUGUUACGAAACCUUAAUCUGAAAACCCCAUCAUUGUUUUAGCUAAGUAUUGAUCUCAUAAAGAUAAAGUGUAAUCGUUGGUCUCUGUAGAUUCGAUCCUAAAGUGCUACAUCGACAUACUAUUCGAUUGUGGUAGUGUGCACAUUAGGGUUAAUUGGUGUAUGUAUACACGUAAUAUCAAUAGGGUUAAAGGUCUAAGUUUAGGUAGGGUUUAGGAUUUAGGUAGUAGAAAAGGUUUAGCGUUUGGUUUAAGUUGGGUUUAGGGUUUGGUUUAGAAUAAUGCUUAGGAUUAUAGGGUUUAGGGUUUGUUUGUUUUUUUGUUUAUGCAUUUAGUGCUGAGUUUUUCGGAUAAAAUUUUAUAUUAAUAUUAUUGAUUCAUAA